Long non-coding RNA from Nylanderia fulva, 196 nucleotides. RefSeq lists it as uncharacterized. NCBI's taxonomy places the organism in Eukaryota, Metazoa, Arthropoda, Insecta, Hymenoptera, Formicidae. The record is from RefSeq and is a predicted model, not a curated record.
UUCGACGGAAAUACGUUUUGGAUUAGACUCACCAAACGUCUAUGCGUAAGAGAAAGAGAAGUGCGAAAUUUUGUGACAAGAGAAAUUCGCGAAUCUUCGUCCGCAUAUACCCGGAGCCCAUGUGAGUUGAAAAUAUCGUUGCACGAAGGAAGAGACGUAGAGAAAAUACAUGUAAUUACUUUCGAUCUGCAAGAAA